AGUGAACGCUGGCGGUAGGCCUAACACAUGCAAGUCGAACGGCAGCACAGUAAGAGCUUGCUCUUACGGGUGGCGAGUGGCGGACGGGUGAGGAAUACAUCGGAAUCUACUUUUUCGUGGGGGAUAACGUAGGGAAACUUACGCUAAUACCGCAUACGACCUACGGGUGAAAGCAGGGGAUCUUCGGACCUUUCGCGAUUGAAUGAGCCGAUGUCGGAUUAGCUAGUUGGCGGGGUAAAGGCCCACCAAGGCGACGAUUCGUAGCUGGUCUGAGAGGAUGAUCAGCGACACUGGAACUGAGACACGGUCCAGACUCCUACGGGAGGCAGCAGUGGGGAAUAUUGGACAAUGGGCGCAAGCCUGAUCCAGCCAUACCGCGUGGGUGAAGAAGGCCUUCGGGUUGUAAAGCCCUUUUGUUGGGAAAGAAAAGCAGCAGGUUAAUACCCCGCUGUUCUGACGGUACCCAAAGAAUAAGCACCGGCUAACUUCGUG
RNAcentral lists this ribosomal RNA (492 nucleotides) under uncultured bacterium. RNAcentral describes it as "partial 16S ribosomal RNA". It matches the Rfam family "Bacterial small subunit ribosomal RNA", at positions 29 to 507 of the family's 1533-position model. The record is from RNAcentral.